This 295-nucleotide long non-coding RNA is filed under the name Capsella rubella. RNAcentral describes it as "long non-coding RNA (CRUB_LNC000444)". The record is from RNAcentral. Lineage: Eukaryota; Viridiplantae; Streptophyta; Magnoliopsida; Brassicales; Brassicaceae.
UAAUUUUGAUUGGUUACAAGUGCUAGAGAUGCUUGAAGAGUGUUUAAAAGUGUGGAGAAAGACUUGUUAUAAUUGGGUCCCAAAUGGGCUAAGAACUCGGAAACAUUGAGUUGAACCACUAAAUGACUUAUCUAUUGUUUUUUGGGGAUAGAAUAUGUUAGAAUACAAUAAAUUUGAUUGGUUACAAGUGCUAGAGAUGCGUGAAGAGUGUUUAAAAGUGUGGAGAAAGACUUGUUGAAAUUGGGUCCAAAAUAGGAUAUGAACUCGGAAACAUUGCGUUGAAGCACUAAAUGAC